Molecule: long non-coding RNA, 1283 nt
Filed under: Homo sapiens (human)
Lineage: Eukaryota; Metazoa; Chordata; Mammalia; Primates; Hominidae
Description: non-protein coding lnc-ERCC4-7:1
Source: RNAcentral
GAAAACAACUAAGAUGUAGUAAUUUUUUUUUCCUGGUUCAAACCUUCAAUAACUUGCUCAUUCAGCAGUCUCUCUGAGCUACAUUUUUAUUUGUAAAGUGACUCUGUCUGCAUGGCAAUGAGCAGGUGCGUGUUUUUUCCACAUUCGCCCUUUCUUGCAGUAUCCAGGGAAACACAUCAUUACAAAGGGUUUCUACCUGAAAUCUUUCAUGGAAGGCCUACAAUUCGAAAAGCUGCACAUGUUUACAGAAGAGCUCUUACCCUCCAUGCAAACACUUUGCUCUGUGGUGUCACAGCUUUGUGACAAUAAGAUGGCAAUCUCGGAUCUACAAGGUGCUGUCGGGAAUCAAAUAAAAUAUGUUAUCAGAGAUAUCAUCACAUCUAUAGUGUUUAACAGAGCUUUAUGCCAACUACUAAGACAAAGCUUUAACAAAGUUUAUAGAAUACUGAAACUCGUAACAAUUACCUCUCUACGUGAUGCUGUAAGGAAUCUUGCUAAUUUGGUAGGAAGAGGAAGCAUUUAGGAAAGGGUUUAGUAUCUACCAAAAGUACUUGACCUCAAGUAACCAAUAGUAAUGCAAACUUGCUUUAAAGGAACCAAAGGCAUUGCCAAGUAUUUGCCAAAAGGAGGCACUUUUUAUUUAAAAUUUGAGACUAAUGAGAUCUCAAAAAUCAGCCCCAAAAAGGUAUUAUCCAUUUAAGGUUAUAAUUUUCACUAAGAUGUAGAUAUUUCUCUUAUUGUUUUCAUGUAAAAUAGUAUAGAGUUGUUUUGUUGGUUUAAGAGUAACAUUCAGUAGUAAUACAAAGUUUUUUUUCUAUGUAGAAAUUAGUUUUCUUUUCUUGCUUGCAAUAGAAAUGCAAUGUGAUAGGUGUUUCUCUUCUUAUUUUCAUUGUCACAUUAUGUCUUAGCAUCUCACUUUAUGAAAAAAAGGAGAAAGAUACCAAUCUACAGAGCCCUGCUUGUUGAAGCACUAGUUUAAUCAACAAAAAAUUAUGGCAAUCGGGGGUCCAUUCAUCUAUUGCCUUUAUGUUGUUUUUUAAAAGAAAAACCAUGAUGCCUUUGUAUUUGCUGUUUGCACCCCUGAAAUCAAUUCCAUAUCAUGUUUGAAUGCCAUACAUUUUGCACAUGUACUGUACAUAAGUAAUGCAUACUGUAUUUUUAUAUGUGUGCACAUUUAUCAUCAGAUCUUUUGUACAUAGUGGCAGUAUUGUAGCUGAUCGGGAAAUGUUUGAUAUCUCAGCAAUUUUGCAUUUUUGUGUCUCAAAUAAAAGACAUUUUGAUGU